GACGUAGGGCGCGAGCGUUGUCCGGAUUUAUUGGGCGUAAAGAGCUCGUAGGCGGCUUGUCGCGUCGUCCGUGAAAACCCACAGCUCAACUGUGGGCUUGCGGUCGAUACGGGCAGGCUAGAGUUCGGUAGGGGAGACUGGAAUUCCUGGUGUAGCGGUGAAAUGCGCAGAUAUCAGGAGGAACACCGAUGGCGAAGGCAGGUCUCUGGGCAUUAACUGACGCUGAGGAGCGAAAGCAUGGGGAGCGAACAGG
Molecule: ribosomal RNA, 253 nt
Filed under: uncultured bacterium
Lineage: Bacteria
Description: partial 16S ribosomal RNA
Rfam family: Bacterial small subunit ribosomal RNA
Source: RNAcentral